UGUAAUUGGAAUGAUGGUGACCCAAACCCUCACCAGAGUAGCAAUUGGAGGGCAAGUCUGGUGCCAGCAGCCGCGGUAAUUCCAGCUCCAAUAGCGUAUAUUAAACUUGUUGCAGUUAAAAAGCUCGUAGUUGUAUUUUUGCGUUAGCGGUUUGACCAUUUGGUUGGUUAUUUCGUUUUCGCUUUUGGGAAUUUCCCUUUUUACUUUGAGAAAAUUAGAGUGUUUCAAGCAGACUUUUGUCUUGAAUACUUCAGCAUGGAAUAAUAGAGUAGGACUUUGGUUCUAUUUUGUUGGUUAUUGAACCUUAGUAAUGGUUAAUAGGAACGGUUGGGGGCAUUCGUAUUUAACUGUCAGAGGUGAAAUUCUUAGAUUUGUUAAAGACGAACUACUGCGAAAGCAUUUGCCAAGGACGUUUCCAUUAAUCAAGAACGAAAGUUAGGGGAUCGAAGACGAUCAGAUACCGUCGUAGUCCUAACCAUAAACUAUGCCGACUAGUGAUUGGAG
This 504-nucleotide ribosomal RNA is filed under the name Babesia canis. RNAcentral describes it as "SSU rRNA". It matches the Rfam family "Eukaryotic small subunit ribosomal RNA", at positions 504 to 1058 of the family's 1831-position model. Lineage: Eukaryota; Apicomplexa; Aconoidasida; Piroplasmida; Babesiidae. The record is from RNAcentral.